This 1739-nucleotide long non-coding RNA is filed under the name Hordeum vulgare. Its description in RNAcentral is "long non-coding RNA (HVUL_LNC005029)". Lineage: Eukaryota; Viridiplantae; Streptophyta; Magnoliopsida; Poales; Poaceae. The record is from RNAcentral.
GGAAGUGUUCGUGCGCCACCAUGCCGCCCCGAUUCACCAGAUCUCGUCAUCCUCCUCUUCCAGAUCCUCCAUAGUCCCGUCCAUGGUCAUCUGCCCCUCUGCGUCCUACAACCGCCUCGAGGAUAGGAUUUACCCUGGAGGCAGGGGAACCUUGCGCACGCGACGCCUGUGUCGUUGUUGCUGGUCGGACGGUGGUCAGAUCCGCCAUGGCCACAACCGGCGUCCUCUCCCUCCUUAUCCAGCUUCCUCCCAUGACUGAGAAGAGGGCUUCAUCAAGGAUCCCACGACGAAGGUAGCUUCCUCCCAUCCCAGAUCGACCAUCCGUCAAUGGAGGCCAUGAUAACAGCGUGGGCACACACAUGGCUGCGCUUCAAGGUCAUCCCUCACCCUUCUUUUCUCUUUGAUUUGAUUUGAUCUCAUUCCCUAAUUUUCCUCCCAGCGUAGCUGCAGCUCGGUAGAUGCAGGCACGUCACCAUGGGGCAAGUCAAGGUCUUCCUUCUCCUCCCAUUUCAUCCGAUCCGCCAGAGCCAGCAAUCCCCGGCGCCCUGCACCACAGCGAUGGUAAGACCAUGACCCCGUCCUUCGUCCUUGCAACAUUUUAUUCCCCCGUUCCUAGGUAGCAAAUGGGUAAAUUAGUAUGCCAUUAGUUCUGUUUUAACUAUUUCUCACAUUAUCAGGCUAGUGAAAAACUAGCUUACCCCUUGGCUAUUUAUGCAUACAUAUUUGGCAACGAAUCAGCACUUGAACCCCAGCGCGCGUUGUCUGCCCAUAAUACAGCUAACUGUCGUAUCACCAGUUGCUUGGACAUUGCUCUCAAGCGAUUCUUCUCGAUGUCUUGCGCCGACGUUCGCCUCGGUGCCGUGCGCCGCCCGUUGGACGUCUUGCACUACUAAUUGCAUGCACGUAGUGUGCCGUGGAUUGUCCGCUAUUGAAAUAUUUUUAUUCACUGGGCUUCUUAUGUGAUUCCGGAACUCGCAAGAACUUUUAUCCAGUAUGAUUUGCAUGUGACAUAUAAACUCACAAGUACUUUUAUUCAGUGUGCUUAUGUCAGAUGUGAACUCACACUUUCAAUUAGCUAGGAACCCAAAAUUAUUCAGUGAGGCAUUAUUUGGUGAUGUACUCGUUGCAUUCACAUGGAUUUAAAUUUUGGAGUCGCUUCCCAGUUCAUCAAACUGCAUGUGUAGUUCAGCUUCACCAACACUCUCAUAGAUGGAUGGUCCAGGCCCGAUUUUUUUGUUUCAGCUGUAACAAAUUCAUUAACGGAGCUAAAUUUCAACUCUUUUUUCCAUGGUUUUGGGUUGGUCCUUCUUAGGAAAAAUUGAUCCAUUGGCUUGGUCCAAUUUAUAUAGAGCUUUCCAUGCCUAAGAAUGAGAAAAUCUUGCUGCCAAUCUGAUGCCACAAUUAGCAUCUUUUUUAUGGUUAUAUUAUGUGUGUGACUGAACAUUGAACCUUUGACCUUUGCUUUUGUAAAACCUGACUUUCUUCUGUUGUGAAUGGAGUGUUUCCUUGCUGUGCUGCAUAAGUAGUUCAUUCAUCGCUCAUUUGACAUGUGCAGGCAAUGUGUACAUGCUGCAUUUAGAUUCCAGCCCAACUAGAUUUUAGUUGAAGCGUUUUAGACCAAGCCAUCUUGGUUUGCUGCAUUUUUGCCUUAUUAGCUUUUUAUUCUUCUUUAGGUUUUGAAGAGGGUUUGUGUAGGACAACCAUGAAGAAAAGUACAAACAUGCUACCUGCGCAAGAGG